UUUUUUCUUUUCUUUUUUUUUUUUGAGACGGAGUUUCACUCUUGUCACCUAGGCUGGAGUGCAAUGGUGUGAUCUUGGCUGACUGCAGCCUCCACCGAAUCAAGCAUUUCUCCUGCCUCAGACUCCCAAGUAGCUAGGAUCAUAGGCGAGUGCCACCAUGCCCGGCUAUUUUUUGUAUUUUUAGUAGAGAUGAGGUUUCGCCAUGUUGGCCAGGCUGGUCUCGAACUCCUGACCUCAGGUAGUCAGCCUGCCUCGGCCCCGCAAAGUGCUGGGAUUACAGGCGUGAGCCACCACACCCGGCCUAUGCAUCCUUAUUUCUAAAACCAUGAGAAAAGGUGGAAGUUUGAAUGCAUGGGUGUGUGACACUUUGAUGCUCCUUUGCUCAUGUAGAACCAGCACUUCUCUUUCACCUGAGCACGUGGAAUCUUCAGAGCCAGAUGAUGGUGGCUGCCUGGCCUCCCAUAGUCAAUGCUGCCCGGGCACCUCUGCCUGGAGGGUCUGGGUUGUGGGCUGCAGUUAUGACAUGUGACCACUUGGAGGCGGGCUUGCAUCUUUCUAGCUUCUGGCUGCUCAGGUGUCCUGCUGUGGAGCUGUGCUGUGCUCCCUGAAGGGCAGAAAGUUACUCUGUGUGCCCCUAUGCCAUCACAGAACCAGGACCUUCAACUUCGUCACACCCACAGUGGCCCAGGCCAGGACUCCCACCGUCUAGGGAAGCCUCUCCCAUGGAAAAGAUUGGGGCUCCAACAUCUUCCUGCAGAUGUAAAGAAAGACAUCUCAGAAGUCUACGGGGACAGCCCACAGCUCCCCACAGGAUUGCUCCAGGUAGCCCCGGAAGGUGAAUGCUGAGCAGGCCCCAGUCCCCAUCCUAGGUAUGGAACAGAUCAAACCGCCAUAGGCCUAUGUCUGACCUUCUUGUCCCCACCCCAUGCUCCUCUGGCACCUGUGUCCUUCUCUUUGCAGGAGAAGGGACAGACAGAGGUUCUCGGUGAUGAGCUCAGGCUCUGGAAGGGCAGUUGAAGUUUGGCUUUAGUUCUUCCUUUCCCAUAUAGGGUAGCUCAGCUGCCGGGGGCCUGGGCCUGCUGUGACCCAGGUUGACACCCCUGAUAUAACUGCUUCCUGGGCUCUCAUGAUCUCAGCUGAGCCUGGCUUUCUGCUGAUGACAUUUGUUUGUUGCUU
This 1176-nucleotide long non-coding RNA is filed under the name Macaca fascicularis (crab-eating macaque). Its description in RNAcentral is "lncRNA (ENSMFAG00000065249.1)". Lineage: Eukaryota; Metazoa; Chordata; Mammalia; Primates; Cercopithecidae. The record is from RNAcentral.